Molecule: long non-coding RNA, 279 nt
Organism: Bufo gargarizans (Asiatic toad)
Lineage: Eukaryota; Metazoa; Chordata; Amphibia; Anura; Bufonidae
Exons: 3
Source: RefSeq, a predicted model, not a curated record
AUUCUUAGACGGUUUUCAGAGACUUUACUGACUACUGAGGUCUUAUUGACUUGAGGAUUUGCUACAAGAUGGCUUUACUGAGGCUGGUGCCAGUUCUUCAGUGUCUGUGUUUGUUGAUACCGGGAGCUGUCCUUUUAUGUGGAGGAGACACAAUUAUUGGUAAGAUAGAUUGCUGUAAUUCAGUGGUCUCUAGCUAAUGGCUGUCCAGCUGUAUUGAAUCAAUAAUCUCAUCAUUCCAGGGCAGGCUAGGCAAUAAUGUUUCAAAACAGAUAAGAAGCU